Molecule: ribosomal RNA, 460 nt
Filed under: uncultured bacterium
Lineage: Bacteria
Description: partial 16S ribosomal RNA
Rfam family: Bacterial small subunit ribosomal RNA
Source: RNAcentral
CCUACGGGUGGCAGCAGUGAGGAAUAUUGGUCAAUGGGCGAGAGCCUGAACCAGCCAAGUCGCGUGAGGGAAGACGGUCCUAUGGAUUGUAAACCUCUUUUGUCGGGGAGCAAAAAGGCCUCGUGAGGCCACAAGUGAGAGUACCCGAAGAAAAAGCAUCGGCUAACUCCGUGCCAGCAGCCGCGGUAAUACGGAGGAUGCGAGCGUUAUUCGGAUUUAUUGGGUUUAAAGGGUGCGUAGGCGGAUCGUUAAGUCAGUGGUCAAAUUGAGGGGCUCAACCCCUUCCCGCCAUUGAAACUGGCGCUCUUGAGUGGAAGAGAAGUAUGCGGAAUGCGUGGUGUAGCGGUGAAAUGCAUAGAUAUCACGCAGAACCCCGAUUGCGAAGGCAGCAUGCCGGCUUCCGACUGACGCUGAAGCACGAAAGCGUGGGGAUCGAACAGGAUUAGAUACCCCUGUAGUC